This 841-nucleotide ribosomal RNA is filed under the name uncultured Methanomicrobiaceae archaeon. RNAcentral's name for it is "bacterial SSU rRNA". It matches the Rfam family "Archaeal small subunit ribosomal RNA", at positions 85 to 928 of the family's 1478-position model. The record is from RNAcentral. Lineage: Archaea; Methanobacteriati; Methanobacteriota; Methanomicrobia; Methanomicrobiales; Methanomicrobiaceae.
ACGGCUCAGUAACACGUGGAUAAUCUACCCUGAGGUGGGAGAUAACCCCGGGAAACUGGGGAUAAUACCUCAUAGACCAGGGAUGCUGGAAUGCUUCCUGGUCCAAAGGUCCGCCGCCUCAGGAUGGGUCUGCGGCCGAUUAGGUUGUUGUUGGGGUAACGGCCCAACAAGCCUUUGAUCGGUACGGGUUGUGGGAGCAAGAGCCCGGAGAUGGAUUCUGAGACACGAAUCCAGGCCCUACGGGGCGCAGCAGGCGCGAAAACUUUACAAUGCGAGAAAUCGUGAUAAGGGAACCCCGAGUGCCCGUAAAUCCGGGCUGUCCGCCAGUGUAAAUAACUGGUGAAGAAAGGGCCGGGCAAGACCGGUGCCAGCCGCCGCGGUAAUACCGGCGGCUCGAGUGGUGGCCGCUAUUACUGGGCUUAAAGCGUUCGUAGCUGGGCUGUUAAGUCCCCUGGGAAAUCCACCGGCUCAACCGAUGGGCGUUCAGGGGAUACUGGCAGCCUAGGGACCGGGAGAGGUGAGGGGUACUCCAGGGGUAGGAGUGAAAUCCUGUAAUCCCUGGGGGACCACCUGUGGCGAAGGCGUCUCACUAGAACGGCUCCGACAGUGAGGAACGAAAGCUGGGGGAGCAAACCGGAUUAGAUACCCGGGUAGUCCCAGCUGUAAACGAUGCGCGUUAGGUGUAUCGGUGACCACGAGUCACCGAGGUGCCGAAGAGAAAUCGUGAAACGUGCCGCCUGGGAAGUACGGUCGCAAGGCUGAAACUUAAGGAAUUGGCGGGGGAGCACAAUCUCUAGGAGGAUCCCCGGGUACCGAGCUCGAAAUCACUGCCGGAAUUCCC